Molecule: long non-coding RNA, 649 nt
Filed under: Daucus carota (carrot)
Lineage: Eukaryota; Viridiplantae; Streptophyta; Magnoliopsida; Apiales; Apiaceae
Description: long non-coding RNA (DCAR_LNC001797)
Source: RNAcentral
AAUUCGACUACUUUAAGGAAUAAUGCAAGAGUCUCUCCUUAUCUAUGUAUCUAUGUAUAUUAUAGUUGCUGAUGCCUCUUUUGUACAGUACUAACCCUCUGCUUUGGAAUUAGCCUAAAAAACUCUUAUAAUUACAGCUGCUGCCACUCAAACUGCCUUCUUCUGCUGUCGACACCUGGCUUCUGCACGUGGCCAUUUAAUGUUCCGUGAGACAGCACAUCUGUUUGUUGCUUUACUAUUCUACCACUGUAAAAAUGCUUUCGUUUUUACAGCAACUACAAAACCUGCGUUGAUCAAAGAUUGCCGAGGAAGUUUCAGAUUUCAAAAUCGCAGCCACUCUCUUUUCAGCUUAUGCUGCUGACACGUAUCUGCCGGACGUGGUUUCUGAAUGCUUGCUGCCAAGUCCCAUACUGCAGUUUCAAAACAUAUAGGCAUGCAUACAAUCUACUCUAACAUGUACUCUUAACAAUAACUAUUAAUUUUUUUAAACAUUAAAUCAUGAAAUCAUUUCUCUUUACGCUUCCGGAAUGAAGCUGGGAACAAACUUCCUGAAGAAGACAUUGCUCCGCCGGCUGCUCUACGUCCAUGCUUGCUGUCUCCGAUUUUAAAUUAAAUAGCAAACUUUAAUCAAUAUUUUAUAACACACGUG